RNAcentral lists this ribosomal RNA (879 nucleotides) under Micractinium reisseri. Its description in RNAcentral is "eukaryotic LSU rRNA". It matches the Rfam family "Eukaryotic large subunit ribosomal RNA", at positions 49 to 949 of the family's 3401-position model. The record is from RNAcentral. Lineage: Eukaryota; Viridiplantae; Chlorophyta; Trebouxiophyceae; Chlorellales; Chlorellaceae.
AGCGGAGGAAAAGAAACUAACCAGGGAWGCCCUUAGUAACGGCGAGCGAACCGGGCAGAGCCCAACUUGAAAAUCUCCAGCCUCCGGCUGGCGAAUUGUAGUCUAGAGAAGUGCUCUCUGCCUCAGUCCGGCCCCAAGUCCCCUGGAAAGGGGCGUCAGAGAGGGUGAGAACCCCGUUGGGACCGGUGCCUGUGGCUCCACGAGACGCUUUCGAAGAGUCGGGUUGUUUGGGAAUGCAGCCCAAAGCAGGUGGUAAAUCCCAUCUAAGGCUAAAUACAGACGGGAGACCGAUAGCGAACAAGUACCGCGAGGGAAAGAUGAAAAGAACUUUGAAAAGAGAGUUAAAAAGUGCUUGAAAUUGUUGAGAGGGAAGCGAUUGGAUCCUACGGGUGCGCCCAGGCACACGCCUGCCUAACGGUUGGCUGAAUGCGCUGGGUGCUGGUCAGCAUGGGUUGGCCGGGCGGGACAAACCCGGGGGUUGUUACCCCGGCUAUGUCGCCUGGCCGACCGAGGAAAGAAGGGCGCUCUCUGAGUCCUCCGGGAACUGCGUCCUCAAGAUGCUGGCGGAAAGGUUCCAAUCGGCCCGUCUUGAAACACGGACCAAGGAGUCUAACAUGCAUGCGAGCUGGUGGGUGGCAAACCCAUGAAGCGCAAGUAACCUGACUGGUGGGAUGGCCUGUGCCUGCACCAUCGACCGACCAUGAUCUUCUGUGAAAGGUUCGAGUACGAGCAUGCCUGUUGGGACCCGAAAGAUGGUGAACUAUGCCUGAGCAGGGCGAAGCCAGAGGAAACUCUGGUGGAGGCUCGUAGAUGUGCUGACGUGCAAAUCGCUUUUCGGACUUGGGUAUAGGGGCGAAAGACUAAUCGAACCUUCUAGUA